This 1598-nucleotide ribosomal RNA is filed under the name human gut metagenome. Its description in RNAcentral is "bacterial LSU rRNA". It matches the Rfam family "Bacterial large subunit ribosomal RNA", at positions 1308 to 2925 of the family's 2925-position model. The record is from RNAcentral.
AGCGAGAGGAAGGUGGGAAUCCUUCCGGCCGAAUAUCUAAGGUUUCCAGAGUAAAGCUGAUCUGCUCUGGGUAAGUCGGGGCCUAAGGAGAGGUCGAAAGACGUAUCCGAUGGACAACAGGUUUAGAUUCCUGUACCACAUAUAAACAGAACUGUGGGGACGCAUGUGGAAAGCAUAAGCCGGGAAUGGAAAUACCGGUACAAACGGAAGAGGUGUCAGGCUGGCAAAUCCGCCUGGCAAGCCAAAGACGUGAUGUGGAGCGAAAUAAAAGUAGCGAAGUAUGUGAGCCAUGUGCCGAGAAAAGCCGCUAUUGUUUUAUAUGUGCCCGUACCGUAAACCGACACAGGUGGAUGAGGAGAGAAUCCUAAGGCCGACGGAAGAAGCAUUGUUAAGGAACUCGGCAAAAUGACCCCGUAACUUCGGGAGAAGGGGUGCCCACUUCAGGGUGGGCCGCAGAGAAUAGGCUCAAGCAACUGUUUAGCAAAAACACAGGUCUAUGCGAAACCGUAAGGUGAAGUAUAUGGGCUGACGCCUGCCCGGUGCUGGAAGGUUAAGAGGAGAGGUUAGUCGCAAGAUGAAGCUUUGAAUUUAAGCCCCAGUAAACGGCGGCCGUAACUAUAACGGUCCUAAGGUAGCGAAAUUCCUUGUCGGGUAAGUUCCGACCCGCACGAAAGGCGUAAUGAUUUGAGCACUGUCUCGACAAUGCAUCCGGUGAAAUUGAAGUACCAGUGAAGAUGCUGGUUACCCGCGCCAGGACGGAAAGACCCCAUGGAGCUUUACUCCAGUUUGGUACUGGGAUUCGGUACUGCAUGUACAGGAUAGGUGGGAGACUGAGAAAUUGGAACGCCAGUUUCAAUGGAGUCACUGUUGGGAUACCACCCCUGCAGUAUUGGGUUUCUAACCAGCCGCUGUGAUCCAGCGGUGGGACAAUGCCAGGCGGGGAGUUUGACUGGGGCGGUCGCCUCCGAAAGGGUAUCGGAGGCGCUCAAAGGUUCCCUCAGAAUGGUCGGAAACCAUUUUAAGAGUGCAAAGGCAGAAGGGAGCUUGACUGCGACACCGACGGGUGGAGCAGGUACGAAAGUAGGACUUAGUGAUCCGGUGGCAUAAAGUGGGAUUGCCAUCGCUCAACGGAUAAAAGCUACCCUGGGGAUAACAGGCUUAUCACUCCCAAGAGUUCACAUCGACGGAGUGGUUUGGCACCUCGAUGUCGGCUCAUCGCAUCCUGGGGCUGUAGUAGGUCCCAAGGGUUGGGCUGUUCGCCCAUUAAAGCGGUACGCGAGCUGGGUUCAGAACGUCGUGAGACAGUUCGGUCCCUAUCCGGCGCGGGCGGAGGAUAUUUGAGAGGAGCUGUCCUUAGUACGAGAGGACCGGGAUGGACGGACCACUGGUGUAUCUGCUGUCGACCAACGGCAUGGCAGAGUAGCCAAGUCCGGAAGGGAUAAACGCUGAAGGCAUCUAAGCGUGAAGCCCCCCUCAAGAUGAGAUAUCCCUUCCAUAAGGAAGUAAGAUCCCUUGAAGAGUACAAGGUAGAUAGGGCAGAGGUGGAAGCAUGGUAACGUGUGGAGCUGACUGUUACUAAUCGAUCGAGGGCUUGACCA